GAGAGAGAGAGAGAGAGAAAUAGUAGGGGGAGAGAGGGUAAUUUAGUCAUUGAAAAGUUCUCUCUCCUUAGACCAUUGAAAUCCGUGAGACUAAUGACAAAUUGAAUUAAGAUUGAACGAAAGAACCUUCCAUUUUUGACAGAAUUAAAACUUAGGGAUUAAAUAAUUUAUUUUCUAUAAUACAAGGACUCAAGUGCUAAUAAUGGUAAAAUUUAUGGACUACAUAGUAAAUUACCCAAAUAAAAAUCAAUUAACAGAGAUAUACACAGGCACACAAUGGUUUGCCAUGGAGAGAACUAUCAGCCAUCAAUGGAACUGGCCACAAAGUUCCAUUGCUUUUUAUUGUUUGUCUUGCUGUAGAGACUUUCUAAGAUAUGAGAAAUUGAGCCAGGCUUCCUUUUAACUUCAGCUUGGCAACUGGAAGCCUCAUAUUUCUCAAAGAGCAUUUGGGAAGUCAAAGAAAGUACGAAUUCAAUUCAAUUCACUUCUAUUUGAUUAAUUUUUACGUUUGAAAAGUAUGCAGGUGCUAGAAUCCAGUUAUUUCAACUUUUUUUUUUUUAAAGAGUUAUUUUG
RNAcentral lists this unclassified non-coding RNA (573 nucleotides) under Hevea brasiliensis (rubber tree). The record is from RNAcentral. Lineage: Eukaryota; Viridiplantae; Streptophyta; Magnoliopsida; Malpighiales; Euphorbiaceae.